CUUGGUCAUUUAGAGGAAGUAAAAGUCGUAACAAGGUCUCCGUAGGUGAACCUGCGGAGGGAUCAAUAUCGAACCUGGCCCCCUGGCCACGUCUACCUUGCAAACCCGUGGAAGCGAACCGUGCUUCGGCGCCUCGGCGUCGAGUUUAUGCUGCAGUUGGUAGUUUGCGUCUGAAUCAAACCGAAGAACAUAAAACUUUCAACAGAGGAUCUCUUGGCUCUUGUAUCGAUGAAGAACGCAGCAAAGCGCGAAAUGUAGUGAACAUAGCAGCACAAUUGUGAAUCAUCGAAUCUUUGAACGCACAUUGCGCCUCCGGUAGCUCGGAGGCAUGCCUGUCUGAGCGUCAUUACAACCCUCAAGCCUGGCUUAUUGUUGGACUUUACUGCUGAAAUAUGUGGCAGGUCCGAAAAACAAUGACGGUGUCGUGUUUGACCCUAAAUGCAACGAGCUUUUUUAUAAGCACGCAUUGAAGUGGUUAACCGGCCUGGUUUUAACCAUCAUUUUCUAAGGUUGACCUCGGAUCAGGUAGGAAUACCCGCUGAACUUAAGCAUAUCAAUAAGCGGAGGA
RNAcentral lists this ribosomal RNA (568 nucleotides) under uncultured Ascomycota. Its description in RNAcentral is "eukaryotic LSU rRNA". The stretch from base 194 to 346 matches the Rfam family "5.8S ribosomal RNA". Lineage: Eukaryota; Fungi; Ascomycota. RNAcentral also lists the same sequence under 1 other name. The record is from RNAcentral.